UGCCUGGCAGUCCAGCAGUUGGGACUCUGCAUUUCCACUGCAGGGGCUACAGGUUUGAUUCCUGGUCAGAUAA
RNAcentral lists this transfer RNA (73 nucleotides) under Capra hircus (goat). It matches the Rfam family "tRNA". Rfam says of the family: Transfer RNA (tRNA) molecules are approximately 80 nucleotides in length. Their secondary structure includes four short double-helical elements and three loops (D, anti-codon, and T loops). RNAcentral also lists the same sequence under 1 other name. The record is from Rfam by way of RNAcentral. Lineage: Eukaryota; Metazoa; Chordata; Mammalia; Artiodactyla; Bovidae.